CCUACGGGUGGCAGCAGUGAGGAAUAUUGGUCAAUGGGCGCGAGCCUGAACCAGCCAAGUAGCGUGAAGGAUGACUGCCCUACGGGUUGUAAACUUCUUUUAUCAAGGAAUAAAGUGAGGCACGUGUGCCUUGUUGUAUGGACUUGAUGAAUAAGGAUCGGCUAACUCCGUGCCAGCAGCCGCGGUAAUACGGAGGAUCCGAGCGUUAUCCGGUGUUAUUGGGUGUAAAGGGAGCGUAGAUGGGUUGUAAAGUCAGUUGUGAAAGUUUGCGGCUCAACCGUAAAAUUGCAAUUGAUAAUGGCAGUCUUGAGUACAGUUGAGGUAGGCGGAAUUCGUGGUGUAGUGGUGAAAUGCUUAGAUGUCACGAAGAACUCCGAUUGCGAAGGCAGCUUACUAAACUGCCACUGACAUUGAUGCUCGAAAGCGUGGGUAUCAAACAGGAUUAGAUACCCGAGUAGUC
RNAcentral lists this ribosomal RNA (460 nucleotides) under uncultured bacterium. Its description in RNAcentral is "partial 16S ribosomal RNA". It matches the Rfam family "Bacterial small subunit ribosomal RNA", at positions 338 to 795 of the family's 1533-position model. The record is from RNAcentral.